This 253-nucleotide ribosomal RNA is filed under the name uncultured bacterium. Its description in RNAcentral is "partial 16S ribosomal RNA". It matches the Rfam family "Bacterial small subunit ribosomal RNA", at positions 524 to 776 of the family's 1533-position model. The record is from RNAcentral.
UACGUAGGGGGCUAGCGUUGUCCGGAAUCAUUGGGCGUAAAGAGCGUGUAGGCGGCCCGGUAAGUCCGCUGUGAAAGUCGGGGGCUCAACCCUCGAAUGCCGGUGGAUACUGUCGGGCUAGAGUGCGGAAGAGGCGAGUGGAAUUCCUGGUGUAGCGGUGAAAUGCGCAGAUAUCAGGAGGAACACCAGUAGCGAAGGCGGCUCGCUGGGCCAUUCCUUACGCUGAGACGCGAAAGCUAGGGGAGCGAACAGG